Molecule: ribosomal RNA, 36 nt
Filed under: Mysmena sp. MYSM-015-THAI
Lineage: Eukaryota; Metazoa; Arthropoda; Arachnida; Araneae; Mysmenidae
Also listed under: 1 other name
Description: partial 18S ribosomal RNA
Source: RNAcentral
UUCCGGGAAACCAAAGCUUUUGGGUUCCGGGGGAAG